This 429-nucleotide ribosomal RNA is filed under the name uncultured bacterium. RNAcentral's name for it is "bacterial SSU rRNA". It matches the Rfam family "Bacterial small subunit ribosomal RNA", at positions 917 to 1350 of the family's 1533-position model. The record is from RNAcentral.
GGGCCCGCACAAGCGGUGGAGUAUGUGGUUUAAUUCGAUGCAACGCGAAGAACCUUACCAGGGCUUAAAUGUAGUCUGACAGAUUUGGAAACAGAUUUUUCUUCGGACAGAUUACAAGGUGCUGCAUGGUUGUCGUCAGCUCGUGCCGUGAGGUGUCAGGUUAAGUCCUAUAACGAGCGCAACCCCUGUUGUUAGUUGCCAGCGAGUAAUGUCGGGAACUCUAGCAAGACUGCCGGUGCAAACCGUGAGGAAGGUGGGGAUGACGUCAAAUCAUCACGGCCCUUACGUCCUGGGCCACACACGUGCUACAAUGGUAGGUACAGAGAGCAGCCACGUCGCAAGGCGGAGCGAAUCUAUAAACCUAUCACAGUUCGGAUCGGGGUCUGCAACUCGACCCCGUGAAGCUGGAAUCGCUAGUAAUCGCAUAUC